AGUUAUUGCUGCUUCAUCUCGUCCGGAUUAAUGAUUAAUUUCUGUAAACACAGACUGAGAGUUGUGUUGGACUGAAUCCAGGUGACCAGAGGAGCUCAGCAGGAGGAGCAGGCUUCGACCUGAGCAGCACCAGCUCCGGUGUGAGAGCAGGACGAGGCCGAGGCCAGAGGUUCCUUUGAUAUACGCUCCGAGGUAGAGCAGCGGAAAAAGAGCAGUUCUUCACCAGGAUGACAGAUGGAGAAAAUCUGGCAGAUCUGUGGCUCUGGACGUGUUUUUAUUACUCUCCAAUAUCACAGGACCUCAGAUCAGAGGAAUAAAUCAACAGCAAAGACUCAAACUCUGAUGGAUUUACACUUCAGUACCUUUUCAAUCCCGGGACUCAAAGAGAAACCGUAAAGUUUUAUGAUGUUCAUAAAACUUUGAGAUAAAAACAAGAAGAAACGGAAUAAAAGACACAUGAUUCAUGUGAUAAAUAAUAUGUACACAUAUUCAUAACAGCUGAUUUACCGAUUGGACGCUGAUGUGCAGGAGGAGGUUCUGGCGCCAUCUCCUGUGUUUUAUGCUCAAGGUUCUGAUCCUUAAAAAUAAUGAUUUAAAUCUGUCAUUAAUAACCAUCUGUACAUUUCAACAGUUUAUUAGACUUUUAAUGCCCGUGGUAUAAAACCCAACUGUAAUAAUUUAAUAUGACUCAGUUCUUAAUAAACUCCAUAUUUCCAUA
Molecule: long non-coding RNA, 718 nt
Organism: Platichthys flesus (European flounder)
Lineage: Eukaryota; Metazoa; Chordata; Actinopteri; Pleuronectiformes; Pleuronectidae
Exons: 2
Source: RefSeq, a predicted model, not a curated record